Fukomys damarensis (Damara mole-rat) is the source of this 2422-nucleotide long non-coding RNA. Lineage: Eukaryota; Metazoa; Chordata; Mammalia; Rodentia; Bathyergidae. The record is from Ensembl.
GCGCCCCGCCAGCCCCGCCCCUCUCCAACAUUCCGUCCCCCGCCUCGCGUGCGUGGGGAUCUACGUGGCUGUCACUUCUGGAGCCGCGCUGGGGACCUGGGAAGAUAACUGAGGCACGAGUCGGAGGGCUGGAGCUUCGGCCGACAGGGCUAGGCGCAGUCCUCCCUUUAGCUCCGAACGCGCCCGCCCCCUGCGCUGGCCGUGGUCCCAGCUGUUACCUCUGCAGAGCCUUUUCCUGCAGUGUGGUUCUUCCUCUCAGCCUCCCUCCGCGGCUUUCCCUGCGCAGAGGACCUGAGGAGGCUGUUGGGUCGUUGCCAAGCCGACCAGAGACCUGACUCCCUCUUAAACCGCGGUCGGACCGACCAGCGGACGUCCUCCGUAGGCAGAGGGUGGCCCUGGGAGGGAGGGGCAGAAGGGUGUAAAAUGCGGACUAACUUCCCCACCAAAGUGGAUAUUCAAAAUGAAAGGAUGCCCAGAGUGAUUGCCCAUCAGAUAUCUGCCCCCUGUGAAGCCUGCCAGUCUCCCAGAAUGCACCUGGAGGGGGUGGCUACUGGUGCAGCUGUGUGGAGAAGCCUUCCAGUUCCUCCAGUGUCAUGGCCUGGGACCUGCCUGGGUUUCUCAACUCUAUCAUUGCAACUGCUCCCACUGCAAAGAUGAGCAAACAGGCUUGGAGAUGCGAGAUGAUCUGUGAUACUAGGUGGCACCCCUAAGACUCAAUCCCACUAUGAUAGACAGCUAAGUUAGGUAGAAUAUUCCAGGCAGUCAGAUAGCGUCAGGACAAAGGUGAAACACACCACAACUAUGGCCAAAGACACAUCAGUUAUAGGCCAGGCUUCAAGAUAUAGACAAAAUGCCCAGGCCUGCAUACUUCUUCAAAGGACAAACACCAGGCCUAAUGAAGUCUAGAUAGACAUCAGUCACCCUCGUGGGUGACCAAGACCUCUGGACCCAUCAUUUCCUAGAAAAAGUCUUUGUUCUUUCCAUGCACUCUUGUUCCAUGACUUGUUUCUCCAUUAGAUAACUAUUUACCUAAGCGACCAUACUCGUAACCUUAUUGGUUAAUCGCAGCUGUAACCCAUGUUGUAUACACAUGGAUUUUGCUAUGUACAACUUCCCUGCAAAAUGGAGUCUCUUGCUACCCAUUCAGUUCUCUCCUGCCUCUCAGGAGCUACCCUCUCAAAAAAUAUUUUCUUACUCUUAACCUCCGUCAUUUCUAGAAUUCAUUCUUCGAUUUUAGAGAACCUGAACUUGGCAUAGCAGACAUCUAAUACGUUGGGAGUUAUAAUAUUUUCAUAUUUCAUCUCCUCUAUCACCACUUUCCACAUUCUGCAGCUGUCAGACAUAGAGUUAUUCUCUCCAACCUCUUCUAGUUGUUUUCAGCUGCUGUUGUCUUACUGGAGGUCAGAGGUGGGACUCUGAGGCUUAGACAGGAUGAGAAGCAGUUUUUGCUGGAGGUAGCCAGGGAUCCUCGACCAUCAGAUUGCAGAAAGCCCUUGUAGACCUACAGGAUGCCUGUGUCACUGUUUUCUGUCAUCCCUUGAGGGCUUUGGUUGAACAUAUAGUUAGACGUAUUUUCCAAAUCUCUAAAAGGCAGGAUGGCAGCAGGACAGUGGGAAGGGGGUCUGCAGUGGGUGUCAAGUACAGAGAACAGCUUUUCUGCUUCUAGAGAUGCACGUUUUGGCUUGCCUCACCUUGAAAUUGGAGAUUUCAUGGAGGAAAAUAUGUCAAGGUAGACAGAGUCUCUCCUUCAUGAGAUGUCAGAUGGCUAUUCUUGCAUGCAGUUAUUUUCUUUUAAAGUAAUUCAUAAUGGCAGAGCUCACUGCUGUAAUCAGUUUCUGUUUCCAUUAUAAAUUCAAUUUUGGAAGGUGAUGAUGGUGUUAUUUCAUCUUCCUCGGGGCCUCAAAUUUAUAUAGAUUUUUUACACACACACACACACACACACACACACACACACACACACAAAGCAGCAGCAGUUUGUAUGUUUAGAACAACUAAAAGCCUGGGCUUUUGGAGGAUAGUUUAGCAAUAGGAAUUUAGGCAAGAAUAGGGUAACAAGUAGGUAUCAACUUCCUUGUCAGCUCUGAACAAUUAGUAGAGAAGACUGAAGUAUUUUGUUGAGAAGGAUUCUGAGACCAUGACUAGAAUACAAAGAAGAGAGCUGUGAUUGAUUAGUGAUGUCUGUCAGGGCGCUCUGUCUGCAGCAAGGGAGAGGGGUAGAGGAAACCACUCAUCUAUAUACACUGCAGUAAGUUUUCUCCCAACAAGGACUUCUUCUUCAUAGCCUUUGAUAGUUGCAAAAGCAUUUUUUAUGAACUUUUUUUUUAUUUAGCCGUUACAUUAACUGGGUAAAUUCACUAGAGCUAAUUUAUCUUCCUAUUGAUUUACCUGCUAGAUAUUUAUUAGAUAAGUUACUGUACCAGAC